GACGAACGCUGGCGGCGUGCUUAACACAUGCAAGUCGAACGGAAAGGCCCUGCUUGCAGGGUGCUCGAGUGGCGAACGGGUGAGUAACACGUGGGUGAUCUGCCCCUUAUUUUGGGAUAAGCCUGGGAAACUGGGUCUAAUACUGGAUAGGACCAUGCUGUAGGUGGUGUGGUGGAAAGAUUAGUUUCGGUAAGGGAUGAGCUCGCGGCCUAUCAGCUUGUUGGUGGGGUAAUGGCCUACCAAGGCGUCGACGGGUAGCCGGCCUGAGAGGGUGGACGGCCACAUUGGGACUGAGAUACGGCCCAGACUCCUACGAGAGGCAGCAGUGGGGAAUAGUGCACAAUGGGCGCAAGCCUGAUGCAGCGAAGCCGCGUGGGGGAUGAAGGCCUUCGGGUUGUAAAGUCCUUUCAGCCAUGACGAAGCCCUUGUGGUGACGGUAGUGGUAGAAGAAGCACCGGCUAACUACGUG
RNAcentral lists this ribosomal RNA (469 nucleotides) under uncultured bacterium. Its description in RNAcentral is "partial 16S ribosomal RNA". It matches the Rfam family "Bacterial small subunit ribosomal RNA", at positions 28 to 507 of the family's 1533-position model. The record is from RNAcentral.